Molecule: long non-coding RNA, 683 nt
Filed under: Homo sapiens (human)
Lineage: Eukaryota; Metazoa; Chordata; Mammalia; Primates; Hominidae
Description: HSALNT0381254
Source: RNAcentral
AGUGAGAAUUUUAACAGCAGUUACCAGGUGUUCAGGACAAAGAAAGAAUAUAGACAGAAUGAGAAGGUGGCACAUUUGACACCAACCAGGUCCCAAGAGAAACUAAAUGCUUAUCAAACCUAAUGUGCACACAAAUCGCCUGGGAAACAGAUUGUGAUUCAAUAGGGCUGAGGGCCCAAGACUGCAUUUCCAGCCAGCUCCAAAGUAAUGCUGAUAACCACAGUGAGCACCAAAGCCAAAUGCCAAAAACCAAAAAGGAUGGCAAGAAUCAACCACAGGGGACAUCAGAGGACCACAGGUGGAGGAGAAGAGGCGAAAGUGGAAGCAACACAGCUGGAAAUGCUGGGACGUGCAGCAUUCUAUACUGCAAGUAGGCCCCAUGAAACAACCCUAAGGCAAGAAAGCAUCCACUAUGCUCAGAGAACAGCAAGGUGGCCCAGUUGGGUAGAGCAGAGUGACCUGUAGGAAGAAUAAUGGAUGUCAGGAGGAUUACUCUGGAUGCUAUGCUGAGAAGAAACUGAAGACAAUGGUGGAAGUGGGAAAGCUUAUGACUCAGAAUAACUAUUUCUAAUAACAAAUUUUAAGUUCUCUUCAUGAGCAGCUGACACAAAUCUUCAACUCAUUGAUGAUGGCAUCUGACUGUUCCAGGUAUUAAGAAGAGAGAAAGAAUCUGAGAAAUUAUG